This 137-nucleotide ribosomal RNA is filed under the name uncultured eukaryote. RNAcentral describes it as "partial 18S ribosomal RNA". It matches the Rfam family "Eukaryotic small subunit ribosomal RNA", at positions 1299 to 1458 of the family's 1831-position model. The record is from RNAcentral.
UGGUGGAGUGAUUUGUCUGCUUAAUUGCGAUAACGAACGAGACCUUAACCUGCUAAAUAGCCAGGCCCGCUUCGGCGGGUCGCCGGCUUCUUAGAGGGACUAUCGGCUCAAGCCGAUGGAAGUUUGAGGCAAUAACA